AUUGAACGCUGGCGGCAUGCCUUACACAAGCAAGUCGAACGGCAGCACGGGAGCAAUCCUGGUGGCGAGUGGCGAACGGGUGAGUAAAGUAUCGGAACGUGCCCAGUCGUGGGGGAUAACGUAGCGAAAGUUACUCUAAUACCGCAUACGAUCUAUGGAUGAAAGCGGGGGAUCGCAAGACCUCGCGUGAUUGGAGCGGCCGAUAUCAGAUUAGGUAGUUUGUGGGGUAAAGGCUCACCAAGCCGACGAUCUGUAGCUGGUCUGAGAGGACGACCAGCCACACUGGGACUGAGACACGGCCCAGACUCCUACGGGAGGCAGCAGUGGGGAAGUUUGGACAAUGGGCGCAAGCCUGAUCCAGCCAUGCCGCGUGCAGGAUGAAGGCCUUCGGGUUGUAAACUGCUUUUGUACGGAACGAAAAGGUUUGACUUAAUACGUUGGACUCAUGACGGUACCGUAAGAAUAAGCACCGGCUAACUACGUGCCAGCAGCCGCGGUAA
Molecule: ribosomal RNA, 500 nt
Filed under: uncultured bacterium
Lineage: Bacteria
Description: partial 16S ribosomal RNA
Rfam family: Bacterial small subunit ribosomal RNA
Source: RNAcentral